Long non-coding RNA from Serinus canaria (Common canary), 3685 nucleotides. RefSeq lists it as uncharacterized. The transcript has 2 exons. The record is from RefSeq and is a predicted model, not a curated record. NCBI's taxonomy places the organism in Eukaryota, Metazoa, Chordata, Aves, Passeriformes, Fringillidae.
GAGAGCCAGGGGGUGGACUGGAGUGAUGGCGGCGGCGUCCGUUUUUGGGUUUUUUUGAAAGGACAAAGAGAAAUUAAAAGGAAAUCAAGGGCACAGGGAGCCAGGAAGAAUUGGAACCCCUCAGCCAGGUUGUCUUCCCAACACGGAUCACUGGCACCAUGGAUCACUGGGGCUCUGCCCACUGGGGGUCACCAGGGAUCAUCCAGCACGGAUCCUCCCACGGGGGAUGGAGCUGGAGCAGCACACAAAGCUCUUCCCACACCCAGGGCACUUGCAGGGCUUCCCUUUGUGGUGCCUCCAUUGGUGUUGGGUCAAGGCUGAGCUCUGGGAGAAGCUCUCCCACACUCGGGAGACUCAGAGGGCCUGUGGCAUCACAAGGAGCAGGGCUGGAUGUCAGGCACCCACCAAAGCUGCUCUCUCCCCUCCAGAGAGGGAGAGGAGAGAGAAAAUAGAAUUAAGUCUUCAUGGGUUGAGUUAAGGGCUGGGACAGAUCUCUCAGCAAAUGCCAUAAUGGGCAAAAAAUUAGAGACGUUAAUUGAAUUUAUUACUAUCAAUCCCAGCAGGAUAGUGAGAAGUAAAAUAAAGCUUUAAAAACACCUUCUGCCCAUCCCUCUCUCCUUCCCAGCUCUACCUCCUCCCCCACUGGGUGCAGGGUGACAGGCACUGGGGGUUCUGGUCAGUUCAUCACCUGUUGUUUUUCCUGCUGCUCGGGGAGAGGAGUUGUUCCCCUGCUGCACCAUGGGGUCCCUCCUGGUGACACUUCUCCAUGAAUGUCUCCAAGGUGGAUUCAUCUCAUGGACAGCAGCUCUUCACAAGCUGCUGCGGCGUGCCUUACUCUCCCACGGGCUCACAAGUCCUGCCAGGUCCCUGCUCCAGCUCAGGCAUUCCCCAGCUCCAGCACGGGCUCCUCAGGUGCUGCAGGUGCAUCUCUGCUCUCCGUGCCUUCUAUGGGCUGCAGGGGCCCAGCUGCCUCACCACAGACUGCACCAGGGAAUCUCAGGGCAAUCAGCUCCAGCCCCUGGAGCAGCUCCUGCCCCUCCUCCUGCCCUGGGGCUGUUCCUCUCACAUGUUCUCACCCUGGUCACAGUUACAACUACAUGAUAAAUCUCUUAUCUCAAAGGCAUUUCUACCUUUUCCAACUGGCCCAGCCUUGGCCAGUGGCUGGUCCUUCCUGGAGCUGGCUGGCAUUGCCUCUGUGGGACACGGAGGAGCAGUUGCUUCCAUCACCCUCUCACAGAAGGUGCUCCUAGAGCCCCCUCUUACCAAACUCCGGCCAUGCAAACCUAGUAUAAGUAUGGUAGGGUUUUAUUACCAUUAUUCAAUCCUAUUAUUGCUAUUAUCUCUAUUUUUGCUAUUAAUAUUACAGUUAUUACUAGUACUUUUUAGUCCUUUUGACUUUUAUAUAUUAAGAGUGUCUGUAGCAGAACUUGAAACAAGAGUCCUUAUUGCAAGUAGAAGUAAUAAUUUUGGCAGCUGCUUGCCCUGCCCUGUUCUGUGUCAGUGCUGUGUGUGAAGCUGCUGCUGCCAGGGCUCUGUAUUCCCCUGGUUUGGGAAAUUCGAUGGCAUUGCUCACAUGUCAGAAGGAGAGGGCUCAUUCCAAUCAAAUGCAUUGCCUGAGCUCUUCUAGCCCAGUGUUGGAACCUUGUUUUGUGAUGUUGUUGACUAUCAGCUUCUGUUAAUAUUUGAGAUUUUAAACCAAAAUGUUCUAGAUGUGAUUUUGCAAGGUUCUGUAGUCAGCUUUCAGUUUUGCUCUUGGAUUUCUUUACAAUGGUCAGAACUGACCACAGCAUUUUGGGUGGUGUGAAAAAAACACGUUCACUCUCCUGUGAAAAUUUUAAAAGUUUAAUAAAGGGCAGUAGGAGACAGGGACCGUAGAGCAAAGGGCACUCAGCCAAGAGCACCCUGUUAUCUUCGGGAUACCCCUGAAAUACCUUUUUUGUUACAUCAGCCUGUUGCAUAUUCAGAGAUCCUUAUGCAUAGUAAACUUUUUCCCCCAAACUAGUUUACAGGUUCCAAGAAUUAUUUAGCAUGGAUCCUCCUUGGGUCCACCUUUUUAGAGCAUGCAUAUUCCUUGGUUGUGGUUUUAGUCCUUUCUUUAUCACCUCCAGUUUUUGGGUCUUGAUCCACACUGUCUUCAUACGGUGAGUGCUGAUAUUUGACAUAUCUGUACAGGUGUCCUCAUCCUGUGUUCAUUGGUUGUUAUCCCAUCCAAGCAGGCAUUUUAACACAAGCAUAGCUAUUUCACUUCUGUGUCUAAUUUCUGAAUUAACAACAGAAAUAAAAACUAUAUAACAAAGUUACUUUAACAUUACACAGAUAAAAUCCAUUUUUUAUUUGCAAAAAGCCAAUAUUAUAAUAUGCAUCCAUAACAGGUGGGGAGCAUUCACUCAGAGAUAGGAUUGUCUCUGCAGCAGCUGGUUUUGCACUUGUUAGCAGGGAUAACAAAGAUUCCAUGAACUGGAUAUUCUGCCUUGUGGCAGAACCUCCAGUGGCUGGCUUGAGCAAGCUGCACUGGGAGCUGCAGGUUGUGCCAGGGGUGGGCAAUGGCCGGAGCCCGUGGCCAGGGGCCAGCAAUGGACACUCAUAAAUGAGAAUUGUACCAUCUAAAUCUCUUUUUCUAAUAAGAAUUUAUUUGAUUAAAAAGCAAGCAGUGGCAAGCAAAGCACAGCACUGGGUGGCCGAGAGUCUCGCUCUCCUAGGCACACAUUGUUCCAUCCCCAAGGUUUGUCUUUUAUUGCCUUCUUCUCCUGGUUCAUGGAUGAUGUGUUCUGUCUUCUGCCCUUGCUCCUCUGGUUGCUAGGGGGUCUUUUUCUGCCUUCUGGUGGUCUUUGGGAUGAAGGCCCCAAGUCUUCCUCUUUGACCACUGGGUGAACCUUCCCUUAUAAGGCAUAUCUAUAAAAUAAAAUUCUCCAAGGCACUAUAGGUUUUCUGCAAGCUAAGCAAUUCUCUCGAGGUUAAGGAUUGUUACAGCCUUUACCAAAUGUGGCUGCACAUAGUUAUGGAUUGUAUCCCGCUGAACAAGCAGUUUUAACUAUUUAGCUGUUGCUUUUAUAUUGUAAAAUUAUUUAGCUAUUGAAUUAAUUAAUGAACAAACAUAUUGCUGCUUAUUACAGACACUGACCCUUUGCUGAGCAGGGGCACGGGGACCUGGAGUGCCGGGUGGUUGGUGCCCGGUCACGCUGGGAUUCUGGGGGAGCCAGGAGCAGUGAGAGAGCCUGGGCCAAACAUCAGCACCAGUGAAUCAUGAUUUUAAAAGUUUAAGAUUUUAGCUGAGGGUUAGAACCAAUUCAUAUUGAAGUUAGAUACACCAGCGAUAGGUUAAUGAUUAUUAGAUGCUUAAGCUAAAGAUAAUUGUUAUAUUAUGAGCUCGUUUGUUGAAGGAAGUGGAGCAAGUGAACCAUUAUAGGAACAUAGUGAAACCAGUAGAACAAUGCCCAGCACCUGGACUCUGUGUCAAUCCAUCAGGAAGCAGGCAGCCUUGGAUCAUGCCAGAGGGUCACAGAGACCCGACGAAGACCUUCCUGACUUCAUCCCUGGGUCCAAUUCGAGACCAUUGACUCGAUUCAAGAGAAGAACUGUGCACACAUGAAAGACUAAUAACCUCAUUUUAAUACAAAGCUGGGAUGGGAGGUGCUGGGGUUCUGCAUAUGUAUAAUUUUUGGGAAAUAAAUAGAAGUCAAAAAUC